Non-coding RNA from Paramuricea clavata, 1509 nucleotides. The record is from the annotation of a GenBank genome assembly. Lineage: Eukaryota; Metazoa; Cnidaria; Anthozoa; Malacalcyonacea; Plexauridae.
CAGAGGAGGAGUGAGGACUAUACCGGCAUGCAACGCGGUCAGGGGCGGUUUUUUACAUAUUACCGAUUUCUCGCUCUGCGCCGUCAUUGUUCGGUCGGCUCUCGCUCUGUUUACACCUCGAGGAUUCGAGCGAUUCGGAAAAGAUUUAUAGAAAAAAAAUUGUAAAAUGGUGAAUUUUUGCACUAUUCGUGGAAAGAAAGCUUCGUUUUUGGGUGGACACGAGCUUCUGUUUGUUCACUGUGUGUCAAAACAGCCAUUAAUCUUGAUUCCGGAAGGACUACCGUGUGAUGAACUUGAAAUGUCGUGAGGUUCAUGUUUAUGUAGUUUUACGGAAUACAGAUAGUUUGAAGAAUAGUCCUUUGUCCAGCUGUGGUUAACGGGAUAAAAAUUGAUGAAAUUGUUCCCUGAUUGCGGUAAUCCUGCACUGGUACAAAUUCACUCUAGUUGUGUUUUUAAGGUAAGAUGAUUUAUAUAAAAUAGAAAUAUAAAAAUGCUCUCGUACUGUAUAAAUUAUAUAAAAUACAGUCAUCGAUGAUGUGAUUGAUAUAUUUCGCUUAGAAUUGUUGUAAUACAGCAGUAUUAAACGUAUUUUUAUUUCAUAUCAUGUAGUUCUUCGACCCUAAUGAUCCACAGGAAGGAGGUUGAUAUUUCAACAUCACCAACAUCCCACCAUGUGACCCAGAUAGUCAAGAUGAUGAGCUGGACAGUGUACUUCCACCAAUAGAAUUACACCAGCCAACUGAUUGUAAUUGUUUUAUUUAUCCAAUAAAUCCUGUUUGCCCUGACGGACAUUCAUACACACCGAAUGAUGGAAGAAGCGCCCAGUGGUAGCAGUGGUGAUGGUGAAACUGAAGGAGGGGCAGUGAAUGUAGAGAAUGAAAUGGAGGAAAUUCAGCACUAUCACAACACUAUAUAUAUAUGUAUUCACUACUGUGUGAUGCAUUGCAAGGAUUUAUACUGAUCAACCAGUUAUCUAUGCUCAAAUGAUCAACCAGUUGUCUAUUAUUUUACUCUACCUAACACCAGAUUAUUUUACUGUUUAACACUAGACUCAUUACUCAUCAGGGGGAGAGUGCUACCACUCAUUGGGUUAAAAAAAACAUUCAAACAAAAUGUUUGGCAGAAGAUGCAAAAUUGUUUAUUGGUGUCUGGUGUGAUACUGAUAUUUCUUUUAUCUGUAAGGAUAGACCUGGGGAGUUUCUUGUGGUAGCCUUGUUUUCCCGUACUGCAUGUGUUUUCCUCACUGCCCUGAUUCUAUCAUAAGUAUUGUAUCCCAAGGACACCAUCUUAUCAGUUCUGCAGUUUUUUGACAAUCUACCGUAAACCUCCGACUAUAAGCCCUGGGCUUAUAUUCUUUCGUAAACGAUUUUUGAUGGGCUUACACAAGGGGGCUUAUACAUGGACAAUCUUUUGUGUUAGUAAUAAAAAAGUCAGUCAUAAACAGGAAAAUAAACAUGUAUUAAUAACACACUUUGAUUAACAUAGUAAGCUAUAAAGACAAUGAGGGGG